GCUUCCUCCAAGCUGUGUCACAUCUAUUGCAGAAUGAGGUUUGAGGAUGUUCUUACAGAAGUGGGUGUUUUUGGAAAAUUCCAGAUAAUAUCUCUUUUAAUUCUCUGCCUUCCCCGAGUUAUCCUCCCCCUGCACUUUCUUCUUCACAUCUUUAUCUCAGCUGUGCCUCCCCAUCACUGUGCCAUUACCCCAGGAGGACAAAUAGGAAACCUGAGCCACGAGGAUCUUCAUAUUUACAUCCCUACAGAGGAUGAUGGAAGCACCAGCUCCUGUGAAAUGUAUUCACACCCGCAGUUCAGCAACACAUCCAAGGAAACAGCGAACAGUUUUACAGUGAAGAAAUGUCAGCAUGGGUGGGAGUACCUCCGUUCAACAUUCACCUCUACCACCGUCACUGAG
This is a non-coding RNA of Pelobates cultripes (western spadefoot toad), 399 nucleotides long. The record is from the annotation of a GenBank genome assembly. Lineage: Eukaryota; Metazoa; Chordata; Amphibia; Anura; Pelobatidae.